GAAAUCCUCAUGUUAACGGUUCCAAUCUCCAAUCCAGAUUGGUAGGAUAGAGGACUGG
RNAcentral lists this transfer RNA (58 nucleotides) under Solanum aureitomentosum. RNAcentral describes it as "partial tRNA-Phe". The record is from RNAcentral. Lineage: Eukaryota; Viridiplantae; Streptophyta; Magnoliopsida; Solanales; Solanaceae.